RNAcentral lists this ribosomal RNA (433 nucleotides) under uncultured bacterium. RNAcentral's name for it is "partial 16S ribosomal RNA". It matches the Rfam family "Bacterial small subunit ribosomal RNA", at positions 29 to 507 of the family's 1533-position model. The record is from RNAcentral.
AACGAACGCUGGCGGCAGGCCUAACACAUGCAAGUCGAGCGGACCCUUCGGGGUUAGCGGCGGACGGGUGAGUAACGCGUGGGAAUAUGCCCUUCUCUACGGAAUAGUCCUGGGAAACUGGGGGUAAUACCGUAUACGCCCUUUGGGGGAAAGGUUUAUCGGGGAAGGAUUAGCCCGCGUUGGAUUAGGUAGUUGGUGGGGUAAUGGCCUACCAAGCCGACGAUCCAUAGCUGGUUAGAGAGGAUGAUCAGCCACACUGGGACUGAGACACGGCCCAGACUCCUACGGGAGGCAGCAGUGGGGAAUCUUAGACAAUGGGGGCAACCCUGAUCUAGCCAUGCCGCGUGAGUGAUGAAGGCCUUAGGGUUGUAAAGCUCUUUCAGCUGGGAAGAUAAUGACGUUACCAGCAGAAGAAGCCCCGGCUAACUCCGUG